Molecule: RNA transcript, 1132 nt
Organism: Tribolium castaneum (red flour beetle)
Lineage: Eukaryota; Metazoa; Arthropoda; Insecta; Coleoptera; Tenebrionidae
Exons: 4
Source: RefSeq, a predicted model, not a curated record
UUCACCUGAUGAACUUCCCCCUUCUCCCGAAACGUUUGAGAAAAAUAUUUGGUGUCAGGUGACUGAUGAGUAAUGUUAUGUGUUACGUGAAUUGAGUCUAAUUAUGGUGCGAUAAGUAACUUCAGAACUGUGAUAAUAGAUUUUAAUGUUAAAUAUUAUGGCUGAAUAUCCCCAUAAAAGAACUCCCAGAGCAAACCAGACGCGCUCUGGCCAAACUCCUCGCUACUAUCAACAUUUAGGAGUAACAGAUUUGAGAGAAAUAAUUGACCGCAAACGUAGUGAAAGAGGAGAACACGAUGUACCUGGUGACUCGUCAAGAGUUUCAACAGGAAGUCCUCAAACUACCACAGAACCUCCUAAACAGGGUAUCAGAAGUCCGCCUUAUAAUAAGAAAAACGUGAAUAAAAACAACGACGAUUACAAGAGGCCUCCCACUAAUCCCUCCAGACAAAACAAAGACAUUGAAAACCCUCUAAACAUUAAAGUUGAAUUUUCCACUUUGACUGGAGAACAUUCGUAUAAACUGGACGAAGACACUGUUCUACCGACAAUAAAACAUGUGCCGGACCAAAGAUACAAUAGUUACAGAGGCAGGGGUCGAGGUCGAGGCAGAGGCCGGGGCUAUCAAAGACAAGUGAAGAGCAGGAAAACAAAUGAGGUUUCAGGCUCUAGUACCCCAUCAGACUACGUCAGUGUUACAAUACAUAACAAAACUGACGAAAACUGUAAAGAAACGACUCAUGCUAACGCUCCGUGUGAGGAGGAAGCAGAAAGACAUGGAGAGGAAAAUAUAGAGAUGAUGAAGAAUAUGAAAAUUAAUGAAGAGUGAUGAAAGUAUAGUUAUUGAAAACGUACCGACGACUUGGCUCAUUUCAAACAAAUAGCAUUUACUUUAGUACGCAUUUUAUUUAACAGUUAUCUUAUUUUUUAUUUUUAUUCUGUUGUUUUGUAAUUUUUUUGUGUCUUAUUUUAUUGUUAUUAUUUAGUUUAUUGUAAUAAAAGGGCUCCCAGUGUCAUCAUCACUUUGAUCAGAAUUUUAUUGUGCAUAUGACAAUAUAAACAUAAUUAAGUUUUUUUUAAUUUUUACUUAUAAUUUUUAAUACAAAACAUUAAUAAAGAAGACUUAUUUUGA